Molecule: RNA transcript, 1310 nt
Organism: Prosopis cineraria
Lineage: Eukaryota; Viridiplantae; Streptophyta; Magnoliopsida; Fabales; Fabaceae
Gene name: protein arginine N-methyltransferase PRMT10-like
Exons: 5
Source: RefSeq, a predicted model, not a curated record
UAAGACUCUCAAACCAGAGCUUUAUCGGCGUCUCCUCUCGCCGGUGCCGUCACAAUCAUUGGGUUCUGUAUCUCCAUUUGGACCUUCUCCAUCAGAUCAUCACCAAGGGUAGCCUUUCUGGAGAGUUAUUUCCUUUAUCUCGAUGAGCUCUCUCUCAGCGACACAGCCUUAGCCGUUUCCUGCUGAUUUUUUUUGCAGUGUUUCCUGUUGAUUUUUCUCUUACAGAUCAUCGCCAAGCAUGGCUCUUAAUUUCUGCGACACUUCGAUGAGUUAUUUCCUUUCCAGAUCAUCGCCAAUUUUAUCCUUUUUAUUGUGCCAUUGAUUGGGUUGUCAGUUCUGUCUGAAGCACGUGACAUUGAUUAAGCUUGUUCUUUAUAACGUUAUCUGGGAGAGAUUUUGGGCUGACUUAAGCGAUUUGAAUGUUGAGAAGACUGUUUUGGAUGUGGGAACUGGAAGCGGCAUUCUUGCGAUAUGGUCAGCACAGGCUGGAGCAAGGAAAGUAUACGCAAUGGAAGCAACUAAGAUGGCAGAACAUGCUCGUACUCUUAUCAAAGCAAAUAAUCUUCAACAUUUGGUUGAAGUAAUUGAGGGCUCAAUGGAAGAUAUAACUUUACCGGAGAAAGUUGACGUGAUAAUCUCUGAGUGGAUGGGAUAUUUUCUUCUGCGUGAAUCUAUGUUUGAUUCAGUAAUAUGUGCUCGUGACUGCUGGCUCAAACCAACAGGUGUGAUGCAUGCCAUUGUAGAAGAACUAGCAGAAUUUGGAGCAACUGUGCAUAUAUGUUCCCGUAACCAAUUAGACAUCGACAAGUGUUUGAAAGAGUGGAGGAGCAAAGGAUUUUGUGUCACUAGAUCAGUCUGCGAUGUGAUCUAAAGUCACCAGUGUCAAAAUUUAAUGCAAAUUGUUGCCUCCAUUUUUCAUGGAAAGCUCAACAUCCUUGAUAGAUGUUGCUGACAGAGUUGGAAAGAAAUCUGUAAUGAAGCAAAGCAAGGACCAUCCCACAAAAAAUAUGCACAAUUGUUUCCAGAAUUGCACUAUAUUGCAGAAUCAAGGUGCUGCGGGAAAAAAAACAAAAAACAGAGAAUAUGUUAACGCUUGAAGACUCCAAACUUGCAAUAUGUAGUAUGCUGAUUUGAAGAAAGACUAUAGUGCUGGUUUGUGGAAUUGUUAGGUGACAGGGAUUGUAUUAAAUGAUGUAAAAGUAUCAUUUUUUUUGCAAUUUUGAGUAUGUAAACGUUGUUAAUUGUAUAUAGGCCAAAAGAGACAAAUGUUUUAAAUUGUAUAUGACAUUAUGAAAAUUAAUAAAAUUAUG